Long non-coding RNA from Ailuropoda melanoleuca (giant panda), 623 nucleotides. RefSeq lists it as uncharacterized. The record is from RefSeq and is a predicted model, not a curated record. The transcript is spliced from 3 exons. NCBI's taxonomy places the organism in Eukaryota, Metazoa, Chordata, Mammalia, Carnivora, Ursidae.
GGCUGAAGGCUGCGUGACUUCUUGAAGAUUCGGUUAUGGUGCCAGCUGGGAGGCAUCCAGGAAGGAUGGCGCUCUGUCUCACAGGAUCCCGCGUGGAGUUAUUAGUACACACCGGGUUCAUGGGGUGUGGGUCUGGAGCUGCUGGCCCAAGGAGCUACACUGGAGAAACUCCUCGACAUUCGUUCCUGCUAAAAGGUCAGAGAUCACGCGUGGCCCGCCUGCUCUAUGACCGGAGGGGAUCCUAUUUCUCCAGCCCUGGACUCUGGACCUGGUCGUGUGACUGGCUUUGACCACGGGGACAUUAGCAAACGCUCACAAGCAGAAGCUGGAAAAGCCCUCAUGCACCAGGCUCACCUUUGCUUGUUUCCAGAACCUUCCAGUGAACAAGCCCAGGCUAGUGUCCUGGGAGAGGAGAGGCCCCGGCUGUUCCAGCCAUCCCCCUUGACCCUGACAACCCCCAAGCCCUCAGGGUGUCUCUGCAGGGACAGUCACCGUCCCUACGGGAGCAUUGACCACCUAACUCACCGCCGUCCUUAAUGCACCAUCCACCUAGAAGGCUCAGAGAAUCAGGGUACCACUCCUUCCUGGGGUCACCCCAACACAGCCUUGCCGCCUAGCUCUGG